This 329-nucleotide unclassified non-coding RNA is filed under the name plant metagenome. RNAcentral describes it as "partial contains 5.8S ribosomal RNA, internal transcribed spacer 2, and large subunit ribosomal RNA". The record is from RNAcentral.
UCCCUUCUCUCCUUCCUUUUCCUUUCAUCCUUCCUUUCCUCCUCUCCUCUUUUCCCUCACAUUGCGCCCUCUGGUAUUCCGGGGGGCAUGCCUGUCCGAGCGUCAUUGCGAACCCCUCAAGCCCGGCUUGUGUGAUGGGCCCUCCCGCGUCUUGGUCGUCAAGACGGGCCCGAAAUGCAGUGGCGGCUUCGCGGUUAUCCGAUCAGCCAGAGCGUAUGGGGACUCUCUCUCUUGUCACACGCCCGCGGCGCGGACCGACGCCUGUCGACCUUUAUUCAUCUUCUCUCGGUUGACCUCGGAUCAGGUAGGGAUACCCGCUGAACUUAAGC